RNAcentral lists this ribosomal RNA (552 nucleotides) under uncultured bacterium. Its description in RNAcentral is "partial 16S ribosomal RNA". It matches the Rfam family "Bacterial small subunit ribosomal RNA", at positions 355 to 902 of the family's 1533-position model. The record is from RNAcentral.
CUAAGAAUAUUCCGCAAUGGACGGAAGUCUGACGGAGCGACGCCGCGUGGAUGACGAAGGCCGAAAGGUUGUAAAGUUCUUUUGCUGGGGAAGAAUAACCGCAGGAGGGAAUGCCUGUGGGAUGACAAGAACCGGCGAAUAAGCCCCGGCCAACUACGUGCCAGCAGCCGCGGUAACACGUAGGGGGCGAGCGUUGUUCGGAAUUACUGGGCGUAAAGGGCAUGUAGGCGGCUUGGAAAGCCUGGCGUGAAAGUCUGCAGCUUAACUGCAGGGGUGCGCUGGGAACUGCUGAGCUUGAGUGACGGAGAGGGAGCUGGAAUUCCUGGUGUAGGGGUGAAAUCUGUAGAUAUCAGGAAGAACACCGAUGGCGAAGGCAAGCUCCUGGCCGAUGACUGACGCUGAGGUGCGAAAGUGUGGGGAUCAAACAGGAUUAGAUACCCUGGUAGUCCACACAGUCAACGAUGUGCACUGGGUGCUGGGGCGGUAGCUUCGGUGCCGGAGCGAACGUGGUAAGUGCACCGCCUGGGGAGUAUGCUCGCAAGGGUGAAACUC